RNAcentral lists this long non-coding RNA (1847 nucleotides) under Trifolium pratense (red clover). RNAcentral's name for it is "long non-coding RNA (TPRA_LNC003892)". Lineage: Eukaryota; Viridiplantae; Streptophyta; Magnoliopsida; Fabales; Fabaceae. The record is from RNAcentral.
UCUACCUUUUGUAUGUGUAUUACAUAGAAUUGUAGUUUAUCACGUCUUGAUUUAUAGUCAUUGUUCUCCUUACAACAAUUAAAUAGUUUUUAUAGUACUUCAAGAGGUGUGAAAAGACUUCCAUUUUUUGUUUACAAUUAUUAGAUGUCUCUUAAUUAAAUACAACAAUGUGUUGCCCCUUUAACAUCUUUUGUAAAGAGGUCGUGUAAAAUAUACAAAUUAAAAUAAUUCAUAUUUUUUAACAAAUUUUCUUUAGUUUAAAAGCUUUCAUGAUAGAAAACGGAAAAUCACAAAUUAAAAAUAAUAUUGUUUGACACCCUAAAACCCUUAGAUAUAAUUGAAGGUGCAUGAAGAAACACAACACAGUACGAAGGUGGAACUAUAGGGGGUUUGAAUUGUGUUGAUCGACUUUAAAAUCUUUUCGUUCUUUCUUUAUAACAAAUAAGAAUUAAAACAAAAGUUACUCAAAACCAAAAAUACAACUAAAAUUGAACAAUCUUAGUGGAAAAUAGUAAAUUUUAAUUCAAUACCCCCCACCAUAUUGGCUGCAUAAAGUGCCUAUACAACUUCUCAGCAACAAUUUUCAAAAGUAUCUGAAUUGAGAGAGGAAAAAGGGUAGAUUAGAUUACCCUACCAAAUUGGUGUGAACCGUUAUCUAUUAUACCUCUUUUCCUAAUUGUUUUACUUAAUUGAUUUAUGCUUUAACUUUAUUUGAAUCUUUUGAUAAAGAAAACAGAAUGUUUUUUAUUCGGUUAAGAAAGAAAAUAUUUUAAAAUCGUAGUGAAAGAACAUAAUUUUUUUUUUGUUUUAAGAAAGAACCUAAUUUUUUUAUAAAGAAUGUAUUAAUCUGAUUUAAUGAUUUUCCCUUUUUUAUCAUGAAAGGUUAUAGGAUAAUGAAAAAUUAUUAAAAAAACAAAUAAAAAUGAAUUAUCUUGAUUUGUAAAUUUUUAUAUGACCUUACUAAAGGUGCUAAAGAGGAAAAUUAACACAUUAUUAUACGUAAGAGACAUAAUUAUAAAAAAUUUAGGAGGGCUUUUUACAACUCUAAAAGUAGUAAAAACUAUUUAAUUGGUGUAAAAUUCCAUCUAAUGCAUGCAAAGGGUAGAAACAUGGAUAAAAUUUUCAAGUUUGUUUAUGUUACAAUAAUCCUUAUCUUUAUUUCUAGUUUCAACACAAAUUUGUAAGCCCUUUGUUUUUAUCUCAUUGUCAAAAAAAAUAAAAUUUGUCAAGUAAUCUAAUAGCUAAAAAUUUCGUCCUUAAGAUAAAUAAGUGAGAUGACAUGAGUUCGAAUCCAGCCCCUUAUAUAUAAUGCAAUAUUAUAUUAAUUGAGUUAAGUUUACGGAACAAUUUUUUCUUUAUUUCGCACAAAAUAUUUUAUUACAUUGCCUCAUAGAAUGAGUUGUCUACAAGAUUAUUGUCAUUGUGUUAUGUGUAUAAUUACAAAGCUGCAUAGAUUAUGUGUGUUUGGCCUAAAAGAAUACACAAAUAUGGAAUAGCACGGCAUAUUAAUAGGAAAAACAAUCAUAAUCUAUGAAGCUUUGUAAUUAUACAAUCACAAUUGCCUUGUUAGAAGCAAUGUAAGAAGUGGAUAUACAACCUACAUAUAUAUUGGUGUAUCAGAAUAUAGUUCCAUUAUUUGUAACAUUAAAAACAUGUAUUUCCAUUCAAGCUUUGUGUUUGAGUUUAUAAAGUAACAAGCGAAUAUGGUUGCUUAUACGCUUGCUAAAGCGGUUAUAUCUUGUCUAGUUGCUAAUACGCUUGCUUAAUGAAAUGCUUUGAGUGUUUGUUUGUCAAACAAAAGUACCUACAGAGUUGUAAAGAGAUUUCAAAAAAAAAUUAUGAUUAUU